This 204-nucleotide long non-coding RNA is filed under the name Mytilus galloprovincialis (Mediterranean mussel). The record is from RNAcentral. Lineage: Eukaryota; Metazoa; Mollusca; Bivalvia; Mytilida; Mytilidae.
UGGUUGUAUUCAGGAGUAUAGGAAAUUAUUCAGGGUUACAUUUUAAUUUUCGAAAUAUUUUUUGAAAUUUUUGUAUUCAGAUAUUUAUGAGGUAUAUAUACGAUAUACACUGCAAACAUGAUAGUUUUAAUUCAUUAAAGAUGCUUGUUCCGAUUCUACACUAUAAGGGUGGAAAAUUACCUUUAUCGAAUUGAAAAAUAAGUU